Molecule: ribosomal RNA, 504 nt
Filed under: Theileria sinensis
Lineage: Eukaryota; Apicomplexa; Aconoidasida; Piroplasmida; Theileriidae
Description: SSU rRNA
Rfam family: Eukaryotic small subunit ribosomal RNA
Source: RNAcentral
GUCUUGUAAAAUGGAAUGAUGGGAAUUUAAACCUCUUCCAGAGUAUCAAUUGGAGGGCAAGUCUGGUGCCAGCAGCCGCGGUAAUUCCAGCUCCAAUAGCGUAUAUUAAAAUUGUUGCAGUUAAAAAGCUCGUAGUUGAAUUUCUGCUGCAUCGUCGCAUCUCUUGCUGAGUGCUUCGUUUCGGCUUAUUUCGGAUUGAUUUUUUCUUUCCGGAUGAUUACUUUGAGAAAAUUAGAGUGCUCAAAGCAGGCUUUUGCCUUGAAUAGUUUAGCAUGGAAUAAUAAAGUAGGACUUUGGUUCUAUUUUGUUGGUUUUAGGUACCAAAGUAAUGGUUAAUAGGAACAGUUGGGGGCAUUCGUAUUUAACUGUCAGAGGUGAAAUUCUUAGAUUUGUUAAAGACGAACUACUGCGAAAGCAUUUGCCAAGGAUGUUUUCAUUAAUCAAGAACGAAAGUUAGGGGAUCGAAGACGAUCAGAUACCGUCGUAGUCCUAACCAUAAACUAA